This 209-nucleotide long non-coding RNA is filed under the name Mytilus galloprovincialis (Mediterranean mussel). The record is from RNAcentral. Lineage: Eukaryota; Metazoa; Mollusca; Bivalvia; Mytilida; Mytilidae.
UUUUUUUAAAUGUUUAUGAAUUUUCGAAAAUUCCACCUGACAACCGAUCAGACAAUAGUUUUUAGUUGAAUACAUGCAGACAAGAUCAUUAACUGAUGCUCAUUAGCUAGUUGAUACAUUUGUCUUUUAAAAUACAACUGAUAUAUAAGGAUCGUAAUGGUGCAAUGUGGAUAAAUUUAUCGGUUUCCAAGAGCAAAAUUGGUAGCGCG